UACACGUGUUCAUCCUGAAAUCCUUCCGGCU
Molecule: non-coding RNA, 31 nt
Filed under: Mus musculus (house mouse)
Lineage: Eukaryota; Metazoa; Chordata; Mammalia; Rodentia; Muridae
Source: RNAcentral